UCCGCUGUAGCACUUCAGGC
This 20-nucleotide non-coding RNA is filed under the name Arabidopsis thaliana (thale cress). Lineage: Eukaryota; Viridiplantae; Streptophyta; Magnoliopsida; Brassicales; Brassicaceae. The record is from RNAcentral.